CCAACAGGGAUUGCCUCAGUAACGGCGAGUGAAGCGGCAACAGCUCAAAUUUGAAAUCUGACUUCGGUCCGAGUUGUAAUUUGUAGAGGAAGUCUCGGGUGCGAUACUGGUCUAAGUUCCUUGGAACAGGACGUCAUAGAGGGUGAGAAUCCCGUAUGCGACUGGUGGUCAACCCCAUGUGAGGCCCCUUCGACGAGUCGAGUUGUUUGGGAAUGCAGCUCAAAAUGGGUGGUAAAUUUCAUCUAAAGCUAAAUACCGGCCAGAGACCGAUAGCGCACAAGUAGAGUGAUCGAAAGAUGAAAAGCACUUUGGAAAGAGAGUUAAAAAGUACGUGAAAUUGUUGAAAGGGAAGCGCUUGCAACCAGACUUGCUCGCGGGUGAUCCACCGUCCCUCGGGGCGGUCUACUCUCCCGUGAUCAGGCCAACAUCGGUUUCGGUGGCUGGAUACAGGCUCCGGGAAUGUGGCUCCCUCCGGGGAGUGUUAUAGCCCGGGGUGCAAUGCAGCCCGCCGGGACCGAGGACCGCGCUUCGGCUUAGGAUGUUGGCGUAAU
This 551-nucleotide ribosomal RNA is filed under the name Baeomyces rufus. RNAcentral's name for it is "eukaryotic LSU rRNA". It matches the Rfam family "Eukaryotic large subunit ribosomal RNA", at positions 65 to 635 of the family's 3401-position model. The record is from RNAcentral. Lineage: Eukaryota; Fungi; Ascomycota; Lecanoromycetes; Baeomycetales; Baeomycetaceae.